This 71-nucleotide transfer RNA is filed under the name Acentrogobius pflaumii (striped sandgoby). RNAcentral's name for it is "tRNA-Trp". It matches the Rfam family "tRNA". Rfam says of the family: Transfer RNA (tRNA) molecules are approximately 80 nucleotides in length. The record is from RNAcentral. Lineage: Eukaryota; Metazoa; Chordata; Actinopteri; Gobiiformes; Gobiidae.
AGGGGCUUAGGUUCAACUUAGACCAAGGGCCUUCAAAGCCCUAAGCGAGGGUGAGAAUCCCCCAGCCCCUG